CUAUAAUGUAGAAGUUCAAAUGUGAACAUUGUGACAAAAUAAUCCAUCCUUGAUGAAAUUUAGAAUCCAAGUUUUGAAGUCAGUUCUGGUCUGGCAAUAGGGUUGUUACUCGUUCACACUGUGAUAUAAUAUCAGUGCUUAAGAUAACUUUUGUGAAUUAGCAAAUGAAUCAGGUUUGCAUCAGGAGCAGCAGGAACACAAGACGGGUAACACAGUAAACAACAACCACUUCAUUUGUAUCUAAUAAAGUAAACAGUCAUCAGUGUGAACAUGCAUGGAACCAGAUCUGGAAGGAGCAGUCCAAUCAUCAGCAGCACAUGUUGCAUUUUAAAGUUCGUAAUGCAAUCCGCCAUUCCAGUGGAUCACAAUGAAGCCCUCUGGCUAUGUCAUGGUAUGAGCUUUCCCUCUGCAUCCUUCAGCCCAUAUACUCAAGCUCAACUCCUGAAGCUCAGAAGCUGGACCCAAGCCUGGAUGUCAGCCCAAGAUCUGAUUGAGCCAGAGCCUACAGGGCCUCCCUGAAGGAGGGUAUGAUCAAUGGUUUAUGCUGUGAUCAGAAAACUAUUUCAGUAAAUUAUUGUUUGUUUAGCACCAGGAACAAAGUGGAGACAAAAGGGUUUCAGAACAACAAGC
Molecule: long non-coding RNA, 630 nt
Filed under: Phasianus colchicus (ring-necked pheasant)
Lineage: Eukaryota; Metazoa; Chordata; Aves; Galliformes; Phasianidae
Description: lncRNA (ENSPCLG00000003509.1)
Source: RNAcentral